GGUGUGGGGAGGAGGGGUGAGGGAGAGGAAAGGUCGAUGAGCAAGGUUUGGAAGUAUUUGUAAACUUGGGCAAUAGAUUGCACAAGAGCUUAAAGAGCAGAAGUGGACAGACUUAGGAAUCAGAGGCUCAUAUUAUGAACUUGGCUAGCCUUGGAAAAACAGCAGCUGUUUACCGGGGUAGGGACACCGCGGCCAACGGAUAUCGGCUUAUUUUGGAGAAGAUGGGGAUCGGAGGGAGGGUCACCCACGCCCAGGCCAAGAAGAAGUGGGACAAUCUGAAGACGAAGUACAAGGAAUGCAAGUGUCCUGCUACAGGUCAGGGGACAGAUGAUGGCAAGGCGACGGCAGUAACUUGGCCCUGGUUUGCCCUCAUGGACGAGGCAUUAGGGCAGUCUUGCCCUCCUGCCUUAUUGCCUCGAUCCAAAAGGACAAACCAGGGCCAAGCACUGCACAAGAGGUAGAAGAAGGGAGAGAUGAGGAGGAGCAGGAGGAGGAGGAGAGAGACACAUGCAGCAGCAGAGAGAGAGCAGGGAACAGAGGAGAGAAGAGGAGAAGGGAGAGAGUGGAUCCAUUCCUACAGCUACUGAAGGAGGACAUAAAAUACCAGAGGGAGGCAGAUGAGAGGAGGGAAGCAGAGGCCAGAGAGAAGUCAAAAAUACAAAAAUUAAGUAAAUUAAAUUUAACUGAUUUUGUCUUUGCCCAGUCUAUGUCCAUUUUUUUUGUACUUUAGACUGCAAUAGAAACAACUUGGUAAGUAACAAAUAACUAGCAUGUGAAGCCUAGAACAAUGUAUUGAACAAUAUCUUCACCCUUACUUACAACGUUUUGUGGUUAGGUAUUCCAAGCUCUACAAAAAACAAUUUCUUCUUGGUUACAAAAAAUUAUUUAUUUAAACAUUUAAAUAUUGACAACUAUUUGCAUGAAGGAAAACAAUUCAAACAACAUUCUCAUAACAUUCUCAUAUCUACAAUUAUAUAAAACAACUUACAACUAUAUACAACAACUUAAACAUUUACAACUAUAUACAACAAGACCAACAACAAGAAGCGGCCAUCAGCUACAGCUGCUGCUGCUUCAAGACUGCAGACAGAAGAAGAAAGUUUAGAAAAAUAAUCGUGGUCCAGAGGUGCCUCAUGCAGUGCAGACACCUCGUCGGUCAGCGAGGCUCAGGGACGAAGGCGGGCUUUUUCACUGACAUAAUGACGCAAUGACGUGCACUUGGUAGCCUGUUCCAUUGUACGUGUUCUUCGAAUGCUAAGGAGGAGCCUGGCCUAGCCUCUGAAGGAUCCUUCCUUGGAAGGACUAGUCCUACCAAGGAAGGAUCCUUGACUUUAAGAAACAGCUACUAAUUCCUUACCACUGUUUGGAAAAAAAAAAGAACAGUUUGUAAUCGGUCGUAGAAGGCGGGAUGCAACAGAAGGCGCAGGAAGUCAGCAUCACUGGACUUAAUUUUCAGAUCAGUUUAUGCCUUUGCAUCUCUGUGUUCCAGUUUCAAGAAGUUAAGACGGAGUUAAGGAAGAUAACUGGAGAUUGAUAAAGAUACCAGUUUUCAUUCAUUCAGGACGAGUCUGAUGAGCCAGAGCUUGAUGGUGUUGCAGUGGGCCUUCUUACUGUCAUCAGUGACCAUGAUACAAGUCCAGUUCACUACCACCCUGUGAGAAUCUCUGUUGUUGAAAGUGAUGCCGUGGUCAGCCUCCCCAGACUUGGCGAUGCCUUCCUGAAAGUGGUAAACUGUCACCCAGGUUGCAGACCCUCAAGAAUGACUUGAUGUAGAAACUCAUCUGAAAGAAGGCUAAAGCAUUAUAAAAGGCUAGUUGAAAGUUAUGUCCUUUUGUCUAAAUAAUGCCUCAAAAAGUUACUGCACUACUUUGCAGUUGUUCAGCCAAUAGGCCCAAACUACACAAUAUGCCUUUGUUCUCCAUCCAUCCAUCCAUCAUCUUCC
Molecule: long non-coding RNA, 1942 nt
Organism: Esox lucius (northern pike)
Lineage: Eukaryota; Metazoa; Chordata; Actinopteri; Esociformes; Esocidae
Exons: 9
Source: RefSeq, a predicted model, not a curated record